This 21-nucleotide microRNA is filed under the name Daphnia pulex (common water flea). RNAcentral describes it as "Dpu-Mir-71_3p (mature (co-guide))". The record is from RNAcentral. Lineage: Eukaryota; Metazoa; Arthropoda; Branchiopoda; Diplostraca; Daphniidae.
CUCACUACUUUGUCGUUCAUG